GAUGAACGCUAGCGGCAGGCUUAAUACAUGCAAGUCGAGGGGCAGCAUGACUGUAGCAAUACAGUUGAUGGCGACCGGCAAACGGGUGCGGAACACGUACAGAACCUUCCUUCGAGCGGGGAAUAGCCCAGAGAAAUUUGGAUUAAUACCCCAUAGUACAUUAGAGUGGCAUCACUUUGAUGUUAAAGAUUUAUCACUUGAAGAUGGCUGUGCGGCUGAUUAGGUAGUUGGCGGGGUAACGGCCCACCAAGCCUGCGAUCAGUAACUGGUGUGAGAGCACGACCAGUCACACGGGCACUGAGACACGGGCCCGACUCCUACGGGAGGCAGCAGUAAGGAAUAUUGGUCAAUGGACGAAAGUCUGAACCAGCCAUGCCGCGUGGAGGAUGAAGGUCCUCUGGAUUGUAAACUUCUUUUAUAUGGGACGAAAAAAGGGUUUUCUAACUCGUCUGACGGUACCAUAUGAAUAAGCACCGGCUAACUCCGUG
This 488-nucleotide ribosomal RNA is filed under the name uncultured bacterium. Its description in RNAcentral is "bacterial SSU rRNA". It matches the Rfam family "Bacterial small subunit ribosomal RNA", at positions 28 to 507 of the family's 1533-position model. The record is from RNAcentral.